UCAGUAACGUCAAGAGUUUUCACGUUGAACAUUUUUGAAUCCUAAUUGUAAAAGUUGCUAUGUAAUGUUACUUGUUUGUGGGGUUAUGAGGUAAUGAAGAAUCGCGCAAACGUAAAAAAGACGAAAACAUGUCAAGCUUCUGAGAAUUCAGGGAGACUGUAGUGCACCUUCAUCAACGGUGGCGCUAGCAGAGUUUAAGCUAAUGUUAGCACCGCUACCGCUGCGCAAUGAAGGAAGCUAAACGCGCAGCUUGUCAGUGAUGAAGUUCAGGCUGAACUAUGGAGGACGACUGAAGAGCCGGAUUUAUUGGUCAACGCAGCAAUAGAUAAGCAAGGACCCUUGUACCUGAGCCCAGACCUGACCCCGAGACCUGUGACCUUACCUGCCAGGUCAUUCUCAUGCCACCCUGACCUGUCUUGAAACCAGAGAGCACCCUGGGAGAGGAAGCACACCAACAUCAAACAGAAUGUGACCUCAACAGCAACUUUCAGCACUUCUAAUGGCCUUGUUGGAAGAGGGGCCCUCUGAUUUACUCAUUUCACACCAAAAGUCAGGACAAUGAAAAAUCCUGGAAUGUGUUCACCUGCCUCUACAUCUCCACUUAAUGUCCAAGGAUACUUUGCAGGAAAAACAAUACUUGGCUGGUCAUUGUGAUUGGAUAUGACACACUGUGCUGCCAUUACCACACUAAUAAGGUUCCUGUUGGGAUGGUGGUGUUUGCCACACCUGAGCAGACCUGGCCAAUCUCCCAGGUGUAUGAAGUCCACCAGUUAAUCUCCACGCUGCUCUGCUACUGAUUCCUGAUGGCAUUUAGUUAUA
Long non-coding RNA from Cheilinus undulatus (humphead wrasse), 819 nucleotides. RefSeq lists it as uncharacterized. Lineage: Eukaryota; Metazoa; Chordata; Actinopteri; Labriformes; Labridae. The transcript is spliced from 6 exons. The record is from RefSeq and is a predicted model, not a curated record.